RNAcentral lists this ribosomal RNA (466 nucleotides) under uncultured bacterium. RNAcentral describes it as "partial 16S ribosomal RNA". It matches the Rfam family "Bacterial small subunit ribosomal RNA", at positions 28 to 523 of the family's 1533-position model. The record is from RNAcentral.
GAUGAACGCUGGCGGCGUGCCUAAUACAUGCAAGUCGUGCGGCAGCGCGAGUAGUUUACUACUUGGCGGCGAGCGGCGGACGGCUGAGUAACGCGUGGGAACGUGCCCCAAAGUGAGGAAUAACUGCCCGAAAGGGUAGCUAAUGCCGCAUAUGCUCUUCGGAGUAAAGCUUUCGAGCGCGUUGGGAGCGGCCCGCGUCCGAUUAGGUUGUUGGUGAGGUAAUGGCUCACCAAGCCGACGAUCGGUAGCUGGUCUGAGAGGAUGAUCAGCCAGACUGUGACUGAGACACGGCCCAGACUCUACGGGAGGCAGCAGUAAGGAAUCUUCCACAAUGGGGGCAACCCUGAUGGAGCAACGCCGCGUGCAGGAUGAAGGCCUUCGGGUUGUAAACUGCUUUUAUGAGUGAAGAAUAUGACGGUAACUCAUGAAUAAGGAUCGGCUAACUACGUGCCAGCAGCCGCGGUAA